AACGAACGCUGGCGGCAUGCCUAACACAUGCAAGUCGAACGAGACCUUCGGGUCUCGUGGCGCACGGGUGCGUAACGCGUGGGAACCUGCCCUUAGGUUCGGAAUACCUCCCCGCAAGGGGUGCUAAUACCGGAUAAUGUCUUCGGACCAAAGAUUUAUCGCCUUUGGAUGGGCCCGCGUAGGAUUAGCUAGUUGGUAGGGUAAAAGCCUACCAAGGCGACGAUCCAUAGCUGGUCUGAGAGGAUGAUCAGCCACACUGGUACUGAGACACGGCCCAGACUCCUACGGGAGGCAGCAGUGGGGAAUAUUGGACAAUGGGCGAAAGCCUGAUCCAGCAAUGCCGCGUGAGUGAUGAAGGCCUUAGGGUUGUAAAGCUCUUUUACCCGGGAUGAUAAUGACAGUACCGGGAGAAUAAGCUCCGGCUAACUCCGUG
This 433-nucleotide ribosomal RNA is filed under the name uncultured bacterium. Its description in RNAcentral is "partial 16S ribosomal RNA". It matches the Rfam family "Bacterial small subunit ribosomal RNA", at positions 29 to 507 of the family's 1533-position model. The record is from RNAcentral.